UUAUGGGAAUAUUCAAGGUCUCGGCCAAAUAGUGGAACAGGAAAUCAGUGAUGGCAGCAAUGUCACAUGGGAAAACCGAAACACAAACUUCCAGAUAUUUAACGGCAGUGGAUUCUCCCACAUCAUAGUCUACACAUGUGACGAGCUCGCAGCAAGGAGUUUCAUGUGGAGACCCCUGUUCUUCGAAAAGGCCAACGGCAGCAGUUUUUACCAAUAUGUCUUAGUCCACAAAUGUGAACAGUUUGCAGGACCAGGUACUGCAAACCCCAUGACAGAAUCUAAUCCAACACAGAGUACAACAGAUUACAGCCAGUCUGCUGUCAAGAUGAUCACAGAAAGCAAGACUACAAACAACAUGACAGAAUCUAAUCCAACACAGAGUACAACAGAUUACAGCCAGUCU
Poecilia latipinna (sailfin molly) is the source of this 403-nucleotide long non-coding RNA. RefSeq lists it as uncharacterized. Lineage: Eukaryota; Metazoa; Chordata; Actinopteri; Cyprinodontiformes; Poeciliidae. The record is from RefSeq and is a predicted model, not a curated record. The transcript is spliced from 4 exons.